Molecule: long non-coding RNA, 989 nt
Organism: Brassica napus (rape)
Lineage: Eukaryota; Viridiplantae; Streptophyta; Magnoliopsida; Brassicales; Brassicaceae
Exons: 3
Source: RefSeq, a predicted model, not a curated record
AUAUUGAUAUUAUAUAUAUAGCUUAAUUGUUUUAUCUACAUUUUUACUAAAAACUAAAUCUAUUCAUCUAAUUUGUUUUAAAAAAUAAAAGUUGAAUGUCGCAUCCAAUUUUUUGCAAAUUGUAUAUAUUCAAUAUCACAUAUAAUUUUGGAAAUUAUAAAUUAUAUAUUAAUAUCAUCCUCUCUUUCCACAAAAUCAUCUUUUCUACAUUUUUUUAUUAUUCAGUCACCUACGUAUGCAUUAUUGUCACUAUUACUAUCAGUGGGUUUUUUCAGCACCACUACCAUCUUUUCGUUCUUCACCAUUCGUUAUAUUCUCACCUUCUCCAGCUAUCUCUUUCUCUCCUCCACCUCCUGUAUAUGCUUCUCUUUUCCAUAAAUUUCGGCGAAAACUCUACCAAUUCUUCAGAAAACACUAUCUCAUUUUCCGUCUCUUGUUUUUUUUUCUUCGCCUAUGGCACUAACAACAACAUUAACCCUUUGGUUCCUUGUUCACCUCUGACACCAACAGAAAAAUCCUCCUUUUCUACCACCAUAAUUGGUUACCACUGUUAUAUACACUUUUUCCACCUAAACCAUCUUCUUUAUCGUCUUCAAUAACAUUUUCUCCGUCUAAACCAUUAUUCAUUACAUGGUUCUCUUCUUUCACUCCUUCAAAAAUCUGAGUCAGACUUUGGAAGACUUCUUAGAAGACUCUUGGAAGAUUUUCGGAAAACUCAUGGAAAACUCUCAGAAGACUCUUGGAAGGAAGUCUUCUAAUGUAUUUUAUGCUAGAAGACUUCCCACGAAGUCUUCGGAAAGUCUUCUGCUCAAAGUGGUACAAAGGACUAAUGUCAAGUGGAGUCCAAGCUUAUCUAUGUUAAGAAAUGAUAUUUAGCGCCAUGUGUAAUAGUUUUGUUUAUGGUCUGUUUUAUGAUUUGUAUGUGUACUAUUUUAGUUUUGAAUUCUUUUGUAAGCUUGAAGAGAUGUUAAUCAAAAGAAUUUAGUAUA